Molecule: ribosomal RNA, 783 nt
Filed under: uncultured bacterium
Lineage: Bacteria
Description: bacterial SSU rRNA
Rfam family: Bacterial small subunit ribosomal RNA
Source: RNAcentral
UAGUUUGAUCCUGGCUCAGGACGAACGCUGGCGGCGUGCUUAACACAUGCAAGUGGAGCGACGAACCGGGGCUUGCCCCGGGGCAGAGCCGCGAACGGGUGAGUAACACGUGGGUUACCUACCCCAAUGACCGGGACAACCCGAGGAAACUCGGGCUAAUACCGGAUGUGGUCUUCGGACGAAAGGAAGCUUCGGCCUCCGCAUUGGGAUGGGCCCGCGGCGCAUUAGCUUGUUGGUGGGGUAACGGCCUACCAAGGCGACGAUGCGUAGCUGGUCUGAGAGGACGAUCAGCCACACUGGGACUGAGACACGGCCCAGACUCCUACGGGAGGCAGCAGUGGGGAAUCUUGCGCAAUGCGCGAAAGCGUGACGCAGCAACGCCGCGUGGGGGAAGAAGGCCUUCGGGUUGUAAACCUCUUUCAGUUGGGACGAAGCCUUACGGGUUAAUAGCCCGCGGAGGUGACGGUACCUUCAGCAGAAGCCCCGGCUAACUACGUGCCAGCAGCCGCGGUAAUACGUAGGGGGCAAGCGUUGUCCGGAAUCAUUGGGCGUAAAGAGCGUGUAGGCGGCCCGAUUAGUCCGCUGUGAAAGUCCAGGGCUCAACCCUGGAAUGCCGGUGGAUACUGUCGGGCUCGAAUCCGGAAGAGGUGAGUGGAAUUCCUGGUGUAGCGGUGAAAUGCGCAGAUAUCAGGAGGAACACCAAUGGCGAAGGCAGCUCACUGGGACGGUAUUGACGCUGAGACGCGAAAGCGUGAGGAGCAAACAGGAUUAGAUACCCUGGUA